AUUGAACGCUGGCGGCAUGCCUUACACAUGCAAGUCGAACGGUAACGGGCCUUCGGGUGCCGACGAGUGGCGAACGGGUGAGUAAUACAUCGGAACGUGCCCGAUCGUGGGGGAUAACGAGGCGAAAGCUUUGCUAAUACCGCAUACGAUCUACGGAUGAAAGCAGGGGACCGCAAGGCCUUGCGCGGACGGAGCGGCCGAUGGCAGAUUAGGUAGUUGGUGGGGUAAAAGCUUACCAAGCCGACGAUCUGUAGCUGGUCUGAGAGGAUGAUCAGCCACACUGGGACUGAGACACGGCCCAGACUCCUACGGGAGGCAGCAGUGGGGAAUUUUGGACAAUGGGCGCAAGCCUGAUCCAGCCAUGCCGCGUGCAGAAUGAAGGCCUUCGGGUUGUAAACUGCUUUUGUACGGAACGAAAAGCCUUCUUUUAAUACAGGAGGGUCAUGACGGUACCGUAAGAAUAAGCACCGGCUAACUACGUG
RNAcentral lists this ribosomal RNA (482 nucleotides) under uncultured bacterium. Its description in RNAcentral is "partial 16S ribosomal RNA". It matches the Rfam family "Bacterial small subunit ribosomal RNA", at positions 30 to 507 of the family's 1533-position model. The record is from RNAcentral.